UUUGAUCCUGGCUCAGAUUGAACGCUGGCGGCAGGCUUAACACAUGCAAGUCGAGCGGAGUGAUGGUGCUUGCACUAUCACUUAGCGGCGGACGGGUGAGUAAUGCUUAGGAAUCUGCCUAUUAGUGGGGGACAACAUUUCGAAAGGAAUGCUAAUACCGCAUACGUCCUACGGGAGAAAGCAGGGGAUCUUCGGACCUUGCGCCAUUAGAUGAGCCUAGGUCGGAUUAGCUAGUUGGUGAGGUAAAGGCUCACCAAGGCGACGAUCCGUAACUGGUCUGAGAGGAUGAUCAGUCACACUGGAACUGAGACACGGUCCAGACUCCUACGGGAGGCAGCAGUGGGGAAUAUUGGACAAUGGGCGAAAGCCUGAUCCAGCCAUGCCGCGUGUGUGAAGAAGGUCUUCGGAUUGUAAAGCACUUUAAGUUGGGAGGAAGGGUAGUAACUUAAUACGUUGCUACUUUGACGUUACCGACAGAAUAAGCACCGGCUAACUUCGUGCCAGCAGCCGCGGUAAUACGAAGGGUGCAAGCGUUAAUCGGAAUUACUGGGCGUAAAGCGCGCGUAGGUGGUUCAGUAAGUUGGAUGUGAAAUCCCCGGGCUCAACCUGGGAACUGCAUCCAAAACUGCUGAGCUAGAGUACGGUAGAGGGUGGUGGAAUUUCCUGUGUAGCGGUGAAAUGCGUAGAUAUAGGAAGGAACACCAGUGGCGAAGGCGACCACCUGGGACUGAUACUGACACUGAGGUGCGAAAGCGUGG
RNAcentral lists this ribosomal RNA (758 nucleotides) under uncultured Gammaproteobacteria bacterium. RNAcentral describes it as "bacterial SSU rRNA". It matches the Rfam family "Bacterial small subunit ribosomal RNA", at positions 12 to 764 of the family's 1533-position model. The record is from RNAcentral. Lineage: Bacteria; Pseudomonadati; Pseudomonadota; Gammaproteobacteria.